ACGAGGCUGCGCGAUGCGACAGGAGUUUGCAUCCCCGGGGCCUUAUCGAUCCGAACGGGAGCUGUACCUGGAUCGGCCCGUGGGCCUUUCCAAACGGCGCCCACCUACGCUGUAGGUUUCCCGGGAUCGAUACCUCCAUCGGUCGAGGUGGCUUCGUC
RNAcentral lists this non-coding RNA (158 nucleotides) under Siculibacillus sp. Its description in RNAcentral is "6S RNA". It matches the Rfam family "6S / SsrS RNA". From Rfam's summary of the family: E. coli 6S RNA was the first non coding RNA to be sequenced, but its function was unknown until recently. It consists of 184 nucleotides that fold into an extended hairpin structure with a large single-stranded internal bulge. The record is from RNAcentral. Lineage: Bacteria; Pseudomonadati; Pseudomonadota; Alphaproteobacteria; Hyphomicrobiales; Ancalomicrobiaceae.